Molecule: transfer RNA, 72 nt
Filed under: Bos taurus (domestic cattle)
Lineage: Eukaryota; Metazoa; Chordata; Mammalia; Artiodactyla; Bovidae
Rfam family: tRNA
About the family: Transfer RNA (tRNA) molecules are approximately 80 nucleotides in length.
Source: Rfam by way of RNAcentral
CUUUUAUUGGCUCAGAGAGUAAAGCGUCUGCCUGCAAUGCAGGAGACCCAGCUUCAAUCCCUGGAUUAGGAA